UUGUAAACUCCUUUUAUCUGGGAAGAAAUGCAUUUUUUCUAAAGUGCUUGACGGUACCAGAGGAAUAAGCACCGGCUAACUCCGUGCCAGCAGCCGCGGUAAUACGGAGGGUGCAAGCGUUAUCCGGAUUCACUGGGUUUAAAGGGUGCGUAGGCGGGCAGGUAAGUCCGUGGUGAAAUCUCUGAGCUUAACUCAGAAACUGCCAUGGAUACUAUUUGUCUUGAAUGUUGUGGAGGUAAGCGGAAUAUGUCAUGUAGCGGUGAAAUGCUUAGAUAUGACAUAGAACACCAAUUGCGAAGGCAGCUUACUACACAAAUAUUGACGCUGAGGCACGAAAGCGUGGGGAUCAAACAGGAUUAGAUACCCUGGUAGUCCACGCCCUAAACGAUGAUUACUCGACAUCAGCGAUACACUGUUGGUGUCUGAGCGAAAGCAUUAAGUAAUCCACCUGGGAAGUACGAUCGCAAGAUUGAAACUCAAA
RNAcentral lists this ribosomal RNA (481 nucleotides) under uncultured bacterium. RNAcentral describes it as "bacterial SSU rRNA". It matches the Rfam family "Bacterial small subunit ribosomal RNA", at positions 423 to 905 of the family's 1533-position model. The record is from RNAcentral.